GUCCAGGAACCCCUGGGCUGUGAGUUUAGAACUCUGGCUAAGUAGGGGAGACUCCAACUUCCUGAGGGGGGCAGUCUGGCUGUGUAGUUCUAAAGGAUCACUUCAUUUUAGGGAUGGGGAAACUGAGGCCAGAAAGGAGAUAUAACUUGAGCAAGUCCUCAGGCAAAUGAUUUAGCUUCUCUGAGGGAUUAUGGACCUGCCCCCCCAUCCUGGUUUUGAGACUAAAGAGAACUAGGGUGUGUGCCCCCCAACCCUAGGUUUUGCAGACUGUAGCAAAAUACAAGAUAUAUAGGAAAAAAUAUUAUCUGGGUUAGACCUGAAACCUAAGUUGCAUUGGUUAGUGGUUAAAAAAAAAAAAAAAAAAAAAAAAAAAAAGGUUCUGGAUCCAGAUCUUGAUUCAGAUCCCACUUAUUACCAGCUGUUUGACCUUCGGUGCGUUGUGUAACCUUGAUAAUGCUAUUUUCUCAUCUGAGCAGUUGCAGAAGUUAAAUGAGACAGUGCACAGAAAGCAAGCCCUUAGCAUUGUGCCUGGCAUUAUGAAGUGCUUGACAAAAUGGCACCUCUAUUAUUAUGACUUGACCUUGGCUUGGAAAUGUCUGGCAUCCAGGUAGGGCCUGUUGUGGCAUCCUUAUAACCCAGUUCCCAGGCACCCACACUGUACCCCAUGAUGUUGUUCUGAGGGCUGGAUUUAGGGGGUAGGUGGGGUUAGGAUGAAAAGCAGUGUGGGGGAAGGCCUUGGAGUCUGUUUUCCUUGCUGUGGAAAGGAGAAACUGACAUGGAGAAUGAGGUCGCCAGGUCCUGAGCCCCAGCCCGACCUGGCCAGUCUGGGCAGUGGCAGCUCCCUGCCUCAGACAUCCCUCAUCUUCGCCACCCUCCUCCAUUUCUGACUCAGCAGGAAAGGGGCCUGUAGCACUGUCCCACAUCUGGGCCUCUCUCCAUUCCUCUCUGCUGCUGUUAGUAAACAGGGGCCACACCCGUGGGGUGCCUGCUCCAGUUUGAGCAGAGAUGCCUCUGAUGAUCUAGUCUUAAGUGGCAAAAGUCCCAGCCAGGCGUCAUGCACAGGAGAGGGACCCCGAGGAGCAGCUGGGCAGCAUGGUGGGGGUGGGACUCUGGGAAGAGAAUGAUAAGACAGAGCAGGAUGGCCAGACCCGUCCUGACCCGUGUCUGGGGAGACAAAUCCCCUUCUCUGUCCAGUAGGGACCCUAAAUCCUGACUUAACUUCUGGGGGUUAAGAGCACAGGCUGUGGAAUUAGGUUGGCCUGGGUUUCAAUCCCAGCUGGGCCAUUUGCCAGCUGUGAGACUUGGGGGGACGUGUUUGAUGAGUCAGAUGAGAUAAUGGAUCUAAAAUGUUUUCUUUUUGCCAAAAAACUAAAAGUAAAAGCUAGAUAAAUAUAAGGGGGUCAUUUUAGACCAAUGCUUCUUGAAGUGUAUUCUGCAGGAAGUUGUUUUCCGGGAAUGUUAACAAUUAUUCCUUUGAAAAAGAAAAGAAAUUAAAAAAAAAAAAUUUGCAGUCGAUAUGUUUUGGGAAAGCAGAAUUGAAGAAUAAAAUAAAUUUCUUUAAGGUUAAA
Molecule: long non-coding RNA, 1568 nt
Organism: Neofelis nebulosa (Clouded leopard)
Lineage: Eukaryota; Metazoa; Chordata; Mammalia; Carnivora; Felidae
Exons: 2
Source: RefSeq, a predicted model, not a curated record